GGGAGGGGGGGCUAGCGUUGUUCGGAAUUACUGGGCGUAAAGCGCGCGUAGGGCGGACCUGCAAGUCGGGGGGGGUGAAAGCCCGAGGGCUCAACCUCGGAACUGCCUUCGAUACUGCGGGUCUCGAGUCCGGGAGAGGUGAGUGGAAUUCCUAGUGUAGAGGUGAAAUUCGUAGAUAUUAGGAAGAACACCAGUGGCGAAGGCGGCUCACUGGCCCGGUACUGACGCUGAGGCGCGAAAGCGUGGGGAGCAAACAGGAUUAGAUACCCUGGUAGUCCACGCCGUAAACUAUGGGUGCUAGCCGUCGGUCGGCAUGCCGGUCGGUGGCGCAGCAAACGCAUUAAGCACCCCGCCUGGGGAGUACGGUCGCAAAGAUUA
Molecule: ribosomal RNA, 378 nt
Filed under: uncultured organism
Description: partial 16S ribosomal RNA
Rfam family: Bacterial small subunit ribosomal RNA
Source: RNAcentral